This 337-nucleotide long non-coding RNA is filed under the name Mytilus galloprovincialis (Mediterranean mussel). The record is from RNAcentral. Lineage: Eukaryota; Metazoa; Mollusca; Bivalvia; Mytilida; Mytilidae.
GUCCUUUUAAUGUUGCAAAUGUCAUUUUAUCAUAAGGUUUUGCACUUUUUGUUAUAUUUAGGACAUACCAUUUGUUUAAAACUUUCAUUUGUAUAAUUUCGGAAAUUACGGUAAUUGAUAUGCAUUUGCGGGAAUUAAUAUAGCAAUAGCGGUAAUAACCAUAGCAUUUGCGGUAAUUGAUAUGCAUUUGCGGUAAUAGAUACAGCAUUUACUGGUAAUAUUUACAUCAUUUACUUCAUCUUAAUCAACAAAUAAAGAGCAAAUGAGAGCAAUUGUAUCUUUCUUUGAUACCGACAGGUUCAAAAGUAUAAACAACAAUUGAAAUACUUAAUGCAGA